Molecule: ribosomal RNA, 465 nt
Filed under: uncultured bacterium
Lineage: Bacteria
Description: partial 16S ribosomal RNA
Rfam family: Bacterial small subunit ribosomal RNA
Source: RNAcentral
GAUGAACGCUGGCGGCGUGCUUAACACAUGCAAGUCGAACGGAAAGGCUCCUGCUUGCAGGGGUACUCGAGUGGCGAACGGGUGAGUAACAAGUGGGUGAUCUGCCCUGCACUUCGGGAUAAGCCUGGGAAACUGGGUCUAAUACCGGAUAGGACGAUGGUUUGGAUGCCAUUGUGGAAAGUUUUUCGGUGUGGGAUGAGCUCGCGGCCUAUCAGCUUGUUGGUGGGGUAAUGGCCUACCAAGGCGUCGACGGGUAGCCGGCCUGAGAGGGUGUACGGCCACAUUGGGACUGAGAUACGGCCCAGACUCCUACGGGAGGCAGCAGUGGGGAAUAUUGCACAAUGGGCGCAAGCCUGAUGCAGCGACGCCGCGUGGGGGAUGACGGCCUUCGGGUUGUAAACUCCUUUCGCUAGGGACGAAGCGCAAGUGACGGUACCUGGAGAAGAAGCACCGGCUAACUACGUG